AAGAGUUGCAAGACUCCCUAAAACCAUUGUGAACCUUACCUAGAUCGUUUCUUCGGCAGGCGGCGUUAGCCCUAACCGACCCUUUCUUCCGGGGGGGGAGACCUGCCGGAGGCUCCUAAACUCUUGAUUUUUAGUUGGUAUCAUCUGAGUAAACUUUUAAUAAGUCA
Molecule: unclassified non-coding RNA, 167 nt
Filed under: uncultured fungus
Lineage: Eukaryota; Fungi
Description: sequence contains ITS1
Source: RNAcentral